Molecule: transfer RNA, 63 nt
Filed under: Xenos yangi
Lineage: Eukaryota; Metazoa; Arthropoda; Insecta; Strepsiptera; Xenidae
Description: tRNA-Thr
Source: RNAcentral
GUUUAAAUAAUUUAAAUAAAAAAUAUUAAUUUUGUAAAUUAAAAAUAAUUAACUUUUUAAACU